ACAACGGCGAGGAAAGGGAGAGUAACGGCCGUUCCCCUCACAGGGAGCCCAGCCGCGACUGAGAGCGGGGCAGGCGGGAUGGUCGUGAAGUUCACCCUGGAGCUGCGCGGCUGAAGGCGGGACACCUGUUGGUAGGCGGCGCCGUCCGGUGCACGUUACGCACCAUGGAGUGGAUGAUCAUCCGCACGGGCGCGGAGGGUCAUCAACAAGGGUGGUACCACGGAGCAGUUCGUCCCUUGA
RNAcentral lists this non-coding RNA (240 nucleotides) under Paenalicyclobacillus macrosporangiidus. RNAcentral's name for it is "Alicyclobacillus macrosporangiidus T-box sequence". It matches the Rfam family "T-box leader". Rfam says of the family: Uncharged tRNA acts as the effector for transcription antitermination of genes in the T-box leader family. T-boxes are found upstream of many aminoacyl-tRNA synthetase genes and some amino acid biosynthetic genes usually in Gram-positive bacteria. Lineage: Bacteria; Bacillati; Bacillota; Bacilli; Caryophanales; Alicyclobacillaceae. The record is from RNAcentral.